RNAcentral lists this ribosomal RNA (468 nucleotides) under uncultured bacterium. RNAcentral's name for it is "partial 16S ribosomal RNA". It matches the Rfam family "Bacterial small subunit ribosomal RNA", at positions 28 to 507 of the family's 1533-position model. The record is from RNAcentral.
GACGAACGCUGGCGGCGUGCUUAACACAUGCAAGUCGAACGGAAAGGCCCUGCUUUUGUGGGGUGCUCGAGUGGCGAACGGGUGAGUAACACGUGAGUAACCUGCCCUUGACUUUGGGAUAACUUCAGGAAACUGGGGCUAAUACCGGAUAGGAGCUCCUGCUGCAUGGUGGGGGUUGGAAAGUUUCGGCGGUUGGGGAUGGACUCGCGGCUUAUCAGCUUGUUGGUGGGGUAGUGGCUUACCAAGGCUUUGACGGGUAGCCGGCCUGAGAGGGUGACCGGGCACAUUGGGCCUGAGAGACGGACCAGACGCCUACGGGAGGCAGCGGGGGGGAAUAUUGCGCAGUGGGCGGAAGCCAGAUGCAGCAACGCCGCGUGCGGGAUGACGGCCUUCGGGUUGUAAACCGCUUUCGCCUGUGCCGAAGCGGGAGUGACGGUAAUGGGUAAAGAAGCACCGGCUAACUACGUG